Chlorocebus sabaeus (green monkey) is the source of this 573-nucleotide non-coding RNA. Lineage: Eukaryota; Metazoa; Chordata; Mammalia; Primates; Cercopithecidae. The record is from RefSeq and is a predicted model, not a curated record.
GGCUGCUGCAAGCUCUCGUCCCCAGUCACAUCCAUUCACGCAGCCCGACUGCCUCCAGGGGCCUUAGAGGGCAGCUCUCAGCACCACUUCCGGCCACUGCAAAAGCUGCCUGUCCUCCCGGCUCCCGCUUGGCAAUCCUGUCCACGUCUUGUGGCUUCAACACUCAACUGCAUGGACACGAACCACCUUCUCCUGACGGACCCCAGAGCCUGCUGACAACCUGAGCCCCCAAGCCCCUCAUCCACAGCACCCCAGAAGGCCUGGCCUCCCUCAACCUGUCUUCACUGUCUCUGAGGGACGGACCCUCCUCCAGGUGGCUUGUACUGGCAGCAGGGACAACUCGACCCUCAGAUGACGUCACUUUCUCUAUUGUGUGUGUCCCUUCCUUUCUAUACCAACACCAGAACCCAGGGCCUCAUCCUGAACCUCUAUCCCAGGGCAGCUGCCCCCGAGCCUCCUGCUCCCAGACCUAAAGGCUAGUGAUGGACCCCUGGCAGGAGCCCCACUGUGGGCCCCAGUAACAGUGAUGGAGGCCCGCCUGGCUCUGCGGUCCUGGGGGACAGCAGCCUGCUG